GACGAACGCUGGCGGCGUGCUUAACACAUGCAAGUCGAACGGAAAGGCCCUGCUUUUGUGGGGUGCUCGAGUGGCGAACGGGUGGGUAACACGUGAGUAACCUGCCCUUGACUUUGGGAUAACUUCAGGAAACUGGGGCUAAUACCGGAUAGGAGCUCCUGCUGCAUGGUGGGGGUUGGAAAGUUUCGGCGGUUGGGGAUGGACUCGCGGCUUAUCAGCUUGUUGGUGGGGUAGUGGCUUACCAAGGCUUUGACGGGUAGCCGGCCUGAGAGGGUGACCGGACACAUUGGGACUGAGAUAAGGCCCAGACUCCUACGGGAGGCAGCAGUGGGGAAUAUUACACAAUGGGCGGAAGCCUGAUGCAGCAACGCCGCGUGCGGGAUGACGGCCUUCGGGUUGUAAACCGAUUUCGCCUGUGACGAAGCGUGAGUGACGGUAAUGGGUAAAGAAGCACCGGCUAACUACGUG
Molecule: ribosomal RNA, 468 nt
Filed under: uncultured bacterium
Lineage: Bacteria
Description: partial 16S ribosomal RNA
Rfam family: Bacterial small subunit ribosomal RNA
Source: RNAcentral